GUUGAUUAGGAAGAAACAUACCCCAGAACUUCUCAAGCUCAGGGGGACCCUUCUGAUUCUCAUCAAACAUAGCGAAUAUAUAAGUCUCUAUAGCUUUCCCUGGCUUUCUCGGAGUUCCACUCUUCACAUGUUGUAUCAAAUUAUUAACAUAAGUCAUUGCAUUCUCCACGCUAGUCCCUGCUCCUCCCUCCGUUGGCCAACCGCUCUCAGACACCACGAUUUCCAACGAUCCUCCCCCUGAUUUCUCCAAUGCUGCAUAGACCGCGUCAAGUUGGGCGUCGAAGAGGUUAUGGUAAGUGUACUGCCCGUCAAUGACUGGAGGGGUCGGUUUGAACAGAGCGUACGCUAGAGGGAUGUCUUUCAUGUCAUCCUUGUAGCUGAAGUAAGGGUAGCUAUUCAAGAGCAGAGGAGAUUGCUUGCUUACCAAGAAACCUAUCACCGGUUGGAGAAAGGUGAUAUAGUCAUCUCUGAAUCUUCCGUGAGACGGAGGGUACGUGUCCAUGGUGGCUCCCAUGUCUAUAGCCGUCGACACCUUGAUCCCAAGGCCUGCUCUAGAAACCGCGUUAUCGAUGUUUUUCAUGGCCUGGAAGAGAGCCCUCGCAGCUGGCUCCGAGGGUUCCACCUCGUUUCCGACCGUGAUGUACCUGAAUCUGACACCCUCGUAGUUCUUGACGUUGUUGCAGAUCCACGUGUCGGCCUCGGCUUGGCUGGAGGCGAUGCGUUCGAGGUCUGAUUUAGGAACGUCGAGGAUGAGCUCGAUGUUGGAGUUGCGGAGAGCGUUGAGAGUGUCAUGGUCGGGGUCGUAGAUUCGCAUCCUCUGGAUGUUGCGGUGCUUGUAAAGAGCCACCACAUCUGAUGGACUUGGCCGGGGAUUGCCUAACCUUCCAUAGCAUACUCCGAUUUGUGCAGCUAUAUAUAUCAUUAGUAAUAGAAUUGCAUCAAAUAAUGUAAUAUCAAUAUGGUCAUACGAUAUGAUUAAUGGGUGUUACAUAAGGUUAAAAGAUGAUUAUACACGUGGUGUCGGAAAAGGAAGCCAUUAGAAGGCUGAGAAGAAUCAGCAACAUUGGUGAUGAAGUCCAUGAGGAUAAUAUCCUUGAUUCAGACAUUUUCAUGAAAUAAACGUUAAGAUAUGAUUUUUAUGUUAUACUUUGAACCGUACCAUUGUGGAACUAAUAAAGGGAAAAAAACUAGUUUAACCCUAAUUCAUUAGUUAAUUACUGAAAUGACUCUAAUUUUAUUUUAAUUAUUAGUUUAGUUUUCAUACCUGUUUUACCCCUAAGUCCUUUGUUAUCAAAAAUAAAAAUUACGAAAAUGUCAUUACUCAGAGACUUAUUUUUCCACGUUUUAUGUAACCACAAACUUAUAUUUAUUUUUCUUCGGUGACAGAUUUAUCUUAAAUUAUAUAGACUUAACUAAAUUUCUACAUAUUUAUUCUAAUAAAUUUGUCACGUUUGGUCACAGAUUUAUUAAAUUCUUACAGAUUUAAUAAGAUUUAGUUUCCUUGACCACAAAUUUACUUAAUUUUGACAGAUUUAUAUAGAAUUUGAUAGAUUUGUUUUUUUUCUUUGCUACUGAUUUACCUAUUUUUGACAGAUUUAUUUGCGGUUUGACUGAUUUAUUAUCUUUUGACCAUGGAUUUACUUUAUUUUGACAGAUUUAAUAUGGAUUUGAUAGAUUUGUUUAUCUUUUGACCACAAAUUUAUUUACAAUUUGAUAGAUUUAUUUUACGUUGGCGACAGAUUUAAUACCGAUCACCAAAUUUAUUAAUUAUUUGGUCACAAAUUUAUUAAAUUCUACUUAACCGAACUGGUUACUGAAAACAGAUUUAACCAUUAAAUUCUGAACUGAUUUAGUUAACAUAAAAUUUUAAUUGAAAUAACCAAAAUCUUGCUAACUAACAAAUUUAGUUAAAUAAACGGAAAUAAAUUAAGUAAACAAAACUAUAACCCAAAAAAAACUGCAAGACUUGCAAGAUUCAAGUUUAGCUUAUGAUUAGUCCUUUUAUAUGCUUUCUGAAUUUUUAUAUAAACUACGUUUGUUUCUGGCUUUUCUGGUUAUGAACAAUUCUCUGUUGAAAUUGCAGGUGAUAUGUUGUAACCGUAUAGCAAAGCUUUCACUUGUCUUUCGUAUCUAUUUCUUGAGAUUUACUUAGAAAACAACAUGUCACGUGUGCAUUGUCCCUCUACUCUUUCUCUCUGUUUUAUAGUGCGAAUAUGGGGGUUCAAGCCAGUCAAUGGAUGAAGUACCAUUAAUAAAAUUUCCCAAAUCUAUAUAUGCUUUGAAAAGUCUACGAAUAUGAAUGUUAAUUUCUGCGAAAUUAGCUUUCAAUAGGGUCAAACUAGCUAGAGCGACUGAAUUGUUAAAUGAAUAAAUGGUAUCAAUCGCCCAAACACAAAUUUGUAUUCGGUUUUCAGAAUACUAAAUUUAAAUCAUUUUUGGUACUAGUUUGGUCGGAUCAUAUGGUAUUAUAACUUUAUAAGUCAUUCCAAUCACGCAUGACAGUUAAUUUAAACAUUAAAUAUCUAAAUAUUUCCAAAUAAUGGAUCCAUGCACACCCCCACUAUAAAAGGUUUUUAAGACUAAAUGCGAUGAGGACUUCGAUUUUGGCAUCAUGGUAAUGGUAGAAGACUAAAAAGCCGUUAAUCACACGUCAACCUAUAUACUAUAAUGGUCCAUUCGUUUUAUUUUGGUUGUCAUUUUAAGUUUAUGCAUACAAACUAAAAAUAUAUUUAAUUUUACAUAUUUUCAAUAUAAAACAUAAUUAUUUAUACACAUAAUCAUAUUUCAAUUAUAGAAAAAUAAAAUAGAAAAUAUUAUUAAUAAAUUUUGCAUUGAAAUUAUAAAACUAUAUUUAUUUUGAAACAAAAUUUGUUUUUUACGACAACAAUUAAACUGAAACGGAAGAAGUAUAUUCUUAUUGUUAAGUAAAUAAUAUAUAGAUAAGGGUAUUGAAGCCUCCAACUCUAUACUUAUGUCAUUAGACAAACUAGGUAGCCAUCAUCAAUUAUGGUAAGAUGAUUUUUGUUACUAAUAAUUCCUCUAAUUAUCUUUCAAAGUUCUAUAGUUAGCCAAAGAAAGUUCGUUUGGGGUCGAUCUCUGGUAUGGACGAUAAAAAAUAGACGCAUGAUGGCUUUGGUUUAGGCUUGUGUUACGUCCAAUCGUUUGUUUUAUCUAAGAUUUAUAAGUUUUGUUUUAUUAUGAACACUCGAUCGAGCGAUCAACUCUCCAUCAGGAUCCCAGAUCAUAGACAACGUGGCUUCCUCCCUCAUGGCGGAAUCGUUGGCUCUCAGACAAGGUAUCAAAGAAGCCCUAAGACUAGGGAGGAGAUCAGCUUCGUUUCACUCCGACUGCGCAACGCUCAUCAGAGCAAUCUCAAUCCAAAUUCAGAUCAAGGAGAUCUAUGGUGUUCUUCAGGAUAUCAAGCAUCUCUCGGCAAAAUUUGAUCGUAUCAACUUCCUGCAUAUCUCCCGUUCCCAGAACAGAGAGGUAGACUAUCUAGCUAAAAUGGCCUUUAAGACCCAUCCGUUUUCUUCUUGCUAUGUUAUGGGCUAGCCUUUGGGCCUAAACCUUCAUUUGUUUCAGUUUUUAAGUUUUAAUAUAAUCAGUUGUUCAAAAAAAAAGUUUUAUUAUGAACAAAAAAUAUCAUAUAUAUAUUGUAGAUUUUAAAACCACUCUCGUUAUAUUAUUAUACUAUGGAAAUGGAAACAUAAGUAAAACAUAGCUUAAGGCUCAUCUAUCUUAUUAAAACUCAAGUACAAAAUUGGAGUGUUUGGAGACUUGAAUAGGACUUUUAAAAAUUUGGAGUGUUUGGAAACAUGGAUUGCAGUCUUUAAAAAAAAAUAUUUUUGUUUGAAAACAAGGAUAGUAGUAUUAAGAAAAAAAGUAAUGGGCUUAUGUUUUUUUUAAAAAUUGAAAGUUAUCUAGGCCACUUUUAAAAUAUACCAAAAUGGGUCAAUCUAAUUCCCUAAAAAAUUUUUUUCUAAACUAACCAUAAAACAAAAUUUAAACUUUAUAUACAUAUUUCAAAUCAAAAUAAUAAUUCAAAUUUGAUUUAUAUCAAAAAUUGAUUCAAAAAUAUACAUAUAUUCAAAAAUGGAUUUUUACUAAACUAUUUUUCAAUAACCAUUAUAAAAAAAUAUUGUCAAUAUAUAUAAGAAAAAUAUAAUACAAAGCCCAAUUUGAAAUACCAACUCAAAUUAUGGUUUUCAUAUUUCAUAUUAAGUUUUAAAAAUAUAAUAUAUGUAAUUAUUUAUAUGAUGGUAUGUAUAAAAUACUAUUAAUUAUAUGAUUACUUAUAUGAUGGUACAUAUAAAAUACGAUUAAUUAUAUGAUGAUAAAAUACGAUAUAUAAUAAUGACUAGGGAUGGGCUUUUGGAUACCCAUACGGGUUUAGUUCUGAUCGGUUUGUAUUUUGGGUUUUCGGGGUCAAAGAUUUCAGCCUUAUUAGAAUGUUUCUAAAUUUUGGUUUGAGUUCGAUUUGGAUCUUUGCGGGUUUGGUUUGGGUUUGGAUAACUAAUUUAAAUUAUUUUUAAAGUCUUAAAUCAUUAUAUAUUUUAAAUUUCUCAAAAUGUAUAAAUAAAAUAAUAUAUUACGUAUAAAUUUGAAUAACAUAUGUCAUAAUACUUAAGCUUAACAUAUCAAUUGGCUUGAUUUAAAAUUUUGGAUACGAAAUCAAUAAUUAUUUUAAGUAUUUUUGGUGAUUUGAGUAUACUUUAACUAUUUCAGAUAUUUACUUUUGACUAUCUAUAUAUAUUUUCAAGUAUUUAAACCAAUUUAAAAGUAUCAUUUUUGAUGUUUUAUAUACGUUAAAUCUAAAAAUAAUCAAUAUAUAUAAGUAUAUAAAUCUAUUUUUAGAUAAAUUCGGAUACCCAAAUACUUCGGUUCGGAUCAGAUUUGGUUCUCUAAAUAACAAAAUUUUGAAUAAUUAGAAUAUUUAAUCAAUUUAUGUUUGGGUUUGGUACUAUAUCUUUGGAUCGGUAUCGGUUAUGUUCCUCGGAUUCAUUUUCCCAAAUCCUAAUAAUUACAUGAAAAACAAAUAUCAACAUAUUUUUCAAAAUAUACACCCGCGCGCCUGCGCGGGUCAAAAUCUAGUUAUUCUUUAUUGUUACAACAAGUUCUCACUUUUUAAUACUCAAAUAAUACUUAAAUAGCUGUUCAUUGCAUCACUAGCCAUUGCUUCUUCAAGAUGUCUCUUCAAGCAUAGAUGAAAUUAACAUUAUACUUAGGCUGUUGACUAGGAAGAAACAUCCCCCAGAACUUCUCAAGCUCAGGAGGACCCUUCUUAUUCUCAUCAAACAUAGCGAAUAUAUAAGUCUCUAUAGGUUUCUUUCGCUUUCUCGGAGUUCCAGUAGUAGUCACAUGUUGUAUCAAAUUAUUAACAUAAGUCAUCGCAUUUUGUACACUAGUCCCGGGUCCUCCCUCCGUGGGCCAACCACUCUCCGACACCACGAUCUCCAACGAUCCGCCACCUGAUUUCUCCAAUGCUGCGUAGACUGCGUCAAGAUUGGCGUCAAAGAGGUUUUGGUAAGCGUACUGGUCGUCAUUGACUAGACUGGAUGGUGAAGUGAACAGAGCGUACUCUAGAGGGAUGGUGUCCAUGUUGUCCUUGUAGCUGAAGUAAGGGUAGUUAUUUAAGAGCAGAGGAGAUUGCUUGCUUAUACCAAGAAAUCUAUCACCGGUUGGAGAAAGUUUUUAUACUCAUCCGUGAAUGUUCCUUGCGACGGAGGAUAAGUGUUCAUGGUGGCUCCCAUGUCUAUAGCCGUCGACACCUUGAUCCCCAGCCCUGCUCCAGAAACCGCGUUAUCUAUGUUCUCUGCAUUGCCUGGAAGAGAAUCCUCCCAGCUGGCUCCGCGGGUUUCACCUCAUUUCCGACCGUGAUGUACCUGAAUCUGACACCGUCGUAGUUCUUGACGUUGUCCCGGACCCACGUGUCGGCCUCAGCUUGGCUGGAGGCAACACGGUCAAGGUCUGUUUUGGGAACGUCGAGGAUAAGCUCGAUGUCGGAGUUGCGAAGAGCGUUGAGAGCUUCUGGGUCCGGAGCGUUAAGCCGCAUCCGCUGGAUGUUUCUCUGCUUGUAAAGAGCCACAACGUCCGAUGGAUUCGGUCGGGGGUCGCCUAACAUCCCGUAGCAUACUCCGAUUUGUCCAGCUAAUCAUUAACAAUGAAAUUGCAUCAAAUAAUUUAAUAUUAUAUAACAUAACCAAAUAACCAAUAUGGUCAUAUAUCAUUACUGGGUGUUAUAUAAGCUUAAAAGAUUAUUCAACCUGUGGUGUCGAAGAAUGAAGCCAUUAGAAGGCUGAGAAGAACCAGCAACAUUGGUGAUAAGGAUACUAUCCUUGAUUCAGACAUUUUCAUGAAACAAAUGUUAAGAUAAGAUUUUUAUGUUAUACUUUGAACCGUACCAUUGUGCACCUAAUUUAUAGUGCGAGUAGGUUCAAGUCGGUCAUUGGAUGAAAUAUCAGUAACAAAUAUUUCUCUAGAUCUAUGCUUUGAAAAGUCUACGAAUAUUAGUUUCCUGCAGAAGUAGCUUUCAGUAUGGUCAAAGUAGCUAGAGAGACUUAAGUGUUACGUUGGAUCAAUCGCACAAAACAAAAUUGUAUUUGGUUUUCAGUAUACUCACAUUUAAAUCAUUCUUGUGUUUUCUUUGGGUGCUAGCUAGGUCGGUUCAUGGUAGGGAGGUACACGAAUCAAAUCUAGCUAGGUCGGUUCAUGGUAGGGAGGUACACGAAUCAAAUAUACGAAGCGUUGGAGGUAUUUGUGAUCCAAUCCAUUUUAUCUGAACAAUCAAUUAUUCAAUUCGGUUUGAUCCAUAUUUAUUUGAAUACUCGAUUAUCGGAUAACCAGAAAUUUUAUAUUCUUAACUGAACAUUCGAUUUGAUUCGAUUCGAUCCAUAAAAAUAAAAUUGAAACAAAUAAAUAAAUACCCAAAAUAAUGUAAAAUAAUAAUAUAUUUAUUACUAAAAUAAAAAUCACUUAUCUUUUACAUUUUUAAUAACUAGAAUAAUAAAUUUAAGAAAGAAAAAUAUUGUAAAACUGACAUACCAUAGAAUAAUAAAUUUAAGAAAGAAAAAUAUUGUAAAACUUACAUACCAUAGAAUAAUAAAUUUAAAGCUAUGACAGUACAAACAUAAGAGACUCAUGAUUAGUUAGAUCAUCUCCAAUAGUUUACUUUAUUUUUUAUUCUAAAAUAGAGUAAUUCUAUAAUAGAAUUUGAAUGGUACUAUGUUUUAGAGUAGAAAAUAGCAGUGUUCUAAAAUACGGUCUAGACGGCGUUUAGACGCUAUACAAUAACCAACCAUACUGUUUUUAUGUUAUACAGUGUUUUAUGCAGAUUUAUAUAAUUCAGGCGAAUAAUAGUGUUUAGGCGGACAUUAUACAGUCUACUCGAACGCCUAGGCGGAUUUUAAGAAUUAAUAUUCAAAAAAUAAACUAUUAAUAUUAUUAUUAUAUUUUAUUAGUGUUAUUAUUUAUAUUACUUCUACUUAUUUUAUGUAUUUAUAUGAUUGUAGAUAUUAGUAUAAUUGUUACAAAAUCCUUUUCAAUUUAUCAUCUUUAUAUAUUUAAAAUGGCUUUAAUUUUUAUAAUUUAAAACUAUUUAUAUAUGUUAAACUAUAUACUUAUACAUAAAAGUAGAUUUAAAAUAUAUUUAUGUUCAGUUUUUUCAAAAACAAUGUAUAUAUAUUAAUCUUAUACUUAUACUUUGUGUAAAAGUAUAUAUUUGUAUAUACUUUUUAGGCGUCCGCCUAUACGGCUAAGCACUAUACAGUCAUCUAACGCGUAAUAAACGUCUAGCGCGUUUUAGAACACUGGAAAAUAGAAUGAUGAAAAAAAAAAUAAGUUGUUGCCAAAAAAAAAACAAAAAAAAAUAAAUUAAUCUAUAUUUGGAAUAAACGUAUUCUUACUCUAUUAUAAAGUGAAAAAUAGAGUAUCAUUAAAAUACUUUUACUCUGAACUCUAUUUUAAAUUGAAAAAUAGAGUGAAAUCGAGGAUGCUCUUAAUACUUAGUAAUAAUUUUACCUAAUUAUUUCCCCAACUUUUUUUACCGUAUUGUCUGCAUGGUGGGCACAGUAUAAGCCGUUAAUCACACGUCAAUCACACGUCAAUCGUUGACCAUGUAAUUAUAUAUCCUUAAGUCAUUAGACAAACUAGCCAUCAUCAAUUAAUGGCAAGCUGACUUGGUUACUAAUAAUUCCUCUAAUCAUCAGUCAAAGUUCUGUCAUUUACGUCUCUAAUAUAGAGAUCUCUAAAACAUAGAAAAAAAUAGAGAUAGAAGUGUUUACUCCAAUGUGUUCCUUUAUAAUAAAAAAAUGCUAUAUUUAUCUCUAUAAAUAGAGGAAUACUAUUUUUUCCUCUAAAUAGGGAAAAAAUAGCAUUCAUCUAUAACCAUCUCCAAUAUAUUUUGUUAUUUUCACUUCUAAAAUAGAUGAACUUUAUAAUAGAAGUAAAAAAUAGAGGAAUACUAUUUCUUCCUAUAUAAAUAGCGGUAAAAAUAGAAAUCUCUAUUAUAGAGAAAGAAAUAGAUGUGGAUUAGAGCAAUUUCACCUAUAAAUGCUAUUAUAGAAGUAGCAAUGGGUGAGAAAUGCUCUAGAGUCAAAUAUAGCAUUCCUCUAUUAUAGAAGAACACAUUGAAGAAAAACUCCAUCUCUAUUUUUUUUCUCUAUUUUAGAAAUCUAUAUUUUAGAGAUGGUCAGAGAUGGUCUAAUAGCCAUAGAAAGUUUUUCUGGGGUCAAUUUACGUUUUGGACGACGAAAAAAACACAUGGUGGCUUUAGUUAGGCUUGUGUUACGUCCAAACGUUUGUGUUACUAUGAACUAAAAUAAUAUAUGUAUAUACAUUGUAGAAAUUAAACCACACUCUCAUUAUAUUAUAGAAACAGAUGGAGUAAAACAUAGAUUAAGGCUCAUUAUUCCUUUAUCAUUACAACAUGUUCCCUCUUUUUAAUACCAAUACAGAAAAGACCAUCAAAUAAUAGAUAUAAAGCAUUUUAUUGUAUCACUAGCCCUUGCUUAGUAUCUUCAAGGAUUUUAGCUGAAAUUAACAUCAUACUUAGGCUGUUGACUAGGAAGAAACAUCCCCCAAAACUUCUCAAGCUCAGGAGGACCCUUCUGAUUCUCAUCGAACAUAGCGAAUAUAUAAGUCUCUAUAGGUUUCUCUCGCUUUCUCGGAGUUCCACCCUUCACAUGUUGUAUCAAAUUAUUAACAUAAGUCAUCGCAUUAUCCACACUAGUCCCUGGUCCUCCCUCCGUGGGCCAACCACUCUCCGACACCACGAUUUCCAACGACCCUCCGCCUGAUUUCUCCAGUGCUGCGUAGACCGCGUCAAG
RNAcentral lists this long non-coding RNA (9323 nucleotides) under Brassica napus (rape). RNAcentral describes it as "long non-coding RNA (BNAP_LNC026961)". The record is from RNAcentral. Lineage: Eukaryota; Viridiplantae; Streptophyta; Magnoliopsida; Brassicales; Brassicaceae.